Molecule: transfer RNA, 67 nt
Filed under: Psacothea hilaris
Lineage: Eukaryota; Metazoa; Arthropoda; Insecta; Coleoptera; Cerambycidae
Description: tRNA-Ile
Source: RNAcentral
AAUGAAGUGCCUGAGUAAAGGAUGAUUUUGAUAGAAUCAAUAAUGUGAGUGCCCCCCACCUUCAUUG